RNAcentral lists this long non-coding RNA (418 nucleotides) under Homo sapiens (human). RNAcentral describes it as "HSALNT0238385". The record is from RNAcentral. Lineage: Eukaryota; Metazoa; Chordata; Mammalia; Primates; Hominidae.
CAAGUCCUAACAAUUCUAUCUCCUAAACAUCUCACUAAUCUGUCCAGGCCUCUGUCUCCAUUGAUACCAACAUUCUUUCUUACCCAGAUAUAAAUAGCUCUUUCUUUUUAAUAACGGUAUACACUGAGCAUGGUGGCACAGGCCUGUAAUCACAGCUACUCAGGAGGCAAAGGCAGGAAGAUCGCUUGAGCCCAGGAGUUAGAGGCUGCAGUGAGAUAUGAUGGCACCACAGAAGAAAUGCACUCCAGCCUGAGUAACAGAGUAAGACCUCAUUUCUAAAUAAGUAUUUAAAAAUAAAAAUAAAUGUACAGUUCAAUGUGUUGUGACAAAUGUUUACACCUACGUAUCUACCCUGCCAAUCAAAAUACAUAACAAUUCCAUCACCCCAAGAAGUUCUCUCAUGCCCCUUUCCUAUCAC